AACUUGGAAGUAAAUGAGACUGAACUAUGUGGUUGUAACAAAGAGUAGGGACUUCAUUAAUAGCAAGGUCUCUAGGAGUCACACUUGAUGGCAGGUAGGACUUGAUGAGAGUUUGAUGAUAAUGAGUCGUCAUAGCCAGUGUACCUUCACAAAAGUUCAUAUAUAUGCCAGUGUAUCGUUAAAAUAUGAAUUUCGAAAAAGAAAAAAAUAUAAGAGCAGCUCCAUAGGUUAUAGUCUUCUAGAUAGAAUAUCUAAGAUAAAAAGAAGAGUCAUUCUUGGGUUCACUCCCUAGGGUGAACCAAUAGGUUCACCAACCAAUAGAAUUUCAUUAUUUCAAAUUCGAUAUCUUUUAAAAAAGGAAACAAAAUAUUCUCAAAUUAUAUUAUGUUUUUAAAAUAAAAAAAGAUAAUAGUUACAGAAAAAAGAAUUAAAAAAAUAUAUUUUAAUGUUCUCAACAAAACACUAAACCCUAAAUCCUAAUCCCUAAACCCUAAAUCCUAAACCCUAAACCCUUGGAUAAACCCUAAACCCUUGGGUAAAUCCUAAAUCCUUGGGUAAAUCCUAAACCUUUGGGUAAAUCUUAAACCCUUGGGUAAACCCUAAACCCUUGGAUAAAUCCUAAACUCUAAAUAAAAAAUACUAAAACCCUAAACCCUAAACGCUUGAAUGUUUUAGUGUAUAGUGAUUUUGAUUUAGAGUUUUGGAUUUAUCCUAGAAUUUAGGGUUUAUCCAAGGGUUUAGGGUUUAGGAUUAAGGGUUUAGGGAUUAGAAUUUAGGGUUUAGGGUUUAAUGUUAUGCUGACGAUGUAAA
This 810-nucleotide long non-coding RNA is filed under the name Brassica rapa (field mustard). RNAcentral describes it as "long non-coding RNA (BRAP_LNC001052)". Lineage: Eukaryota; Viridiplantae; Streptophyta; Magnoliopsida; Brassicales; Brassicaceae. The record is from RNAcentral.